AUUGAACGCUGGCGGCAGGCCUAACACAUGCAAGUCGAGCGGAUGAAGGGAACUUGCUCCUGGAUUCAGCGGCGGACUGGUGAGUAAGGCCGAGGAAUCUGCCUGGUAGUGUGGUAUAACGUCCGGAAACGGGCGCUAAUACCGCAUACGUCCUUAGGGAGAAAGUGGGGGAUCUUCGGACCUCACGCUCUCAGAUGAUCCUAGGUCGGAUUAGCUAGUUGGUGGGGUAAAGGCCUACCAAGGCGACGAUCCGUAACUGGUCUGAGAGGAUGAUCAGUCACACUGGAACUGAGACACGGUCCAGACUCCUACGGGAGGCAGCAGUGGGGAAUAUUGGGCAAUGGGCGCAAGCCUGAUCCAGCCAUGCCGCGUGUGUGAAGAAGGUCUUCGGAUUGUAAAGCACUUUAAGUUGGGAAGAAGAGCAGUAAGUUAAUACCUUGCUGUUUUGACGGUACCAAAAGAAUAAGCACCGGCUAACUUCGUG
RNAcentral lists this ribosomal RNA (484 nucleotides) under uncultured bacterium. RNAcentral's name for it is "partial 16S ribosomal RNA". It matches the Rfam family "Bacterial small subunit ribosomal RNA", at positions 30 to 507 of the family's 1533-position model. The record is from RNAcentral.